CCAAGCCUUCUGGCGAUCUAGACAAAACAAGUCCACCGUGGGCUUUGAAAAACGCUUUCCUUGAUAAAAUUUAAGCGUUUUAUAAGAGGAUGCCGGGGAAGGUUUUCCGGUUUAUCCCGGAGGGCUUGUAGCUCAGUUGGUUAGAGCGCGCGCUUGAUAAGCGUGAGGUCGGAGGUUCAAGUCCUCCCAGGCCCACCAGUUUAUCCAUUACUUUCAUAAGUGCUUUUAAAAAAUAAGUACUUCUAAAAAGAUUGCUUCUAAAAAGCUUAUCAAAAUUGGCAGGCUUAUUGCUUUUGUGUGAGUAAUCCAAAGUUAAAGCAAAUUAAUGGCAAAAAAACAGUUCAAAUGCUAAAUACUAAGGAGUCAAAAUUCCUUGCAAAGUGAUUUUUACAGCGUCCAUUUGGUUGAUAUAAAUUCCAAAUGCUCAUAGACGUCAAUGCCUAUAUGAAACUAUCGGUUCAAUCAUAUCGCUUUGAGUUAUAUAGAUUUUGUAAUCCCUCUUUUGAUCGUUUUAAACGCUUUAUUCUGAUUUAGGGGCCGUAGCUCAGCUGGGAGAGCACCUGCUUUGCAAGCAGGGGGUCGUCGGUUCGAUCCCGUCCGGCUCCACCAUAAGGUCAUCAUCAUUGU
Molecule: transfer RNA, 627 nt
Filed under: Bartonella henselae
Lineage: Bacteria; Pseudomonadati; Pseudomonadota; Alphaproteobacteria; Hyphomicrobiales; Bartonellaceae
Description: partial 16S-23S ribosomal RNA intergenic spacer
Rfam family: tRNA (bases 122-195)
Source: RNAcentral